UUGCGUAGGUGGUUAUACAAGCGAAUAGUGAAAUCUGGCGGCUCAACCGUACAGGCUAUUAUUCGAACUGUAUAACUCGAGAAUGGUAGAGGUAACUGGAAUUUCUUGUGUAGGAGUGAAAUCCGUAGAUAUAAGAAGGAACACCAAUGGCGUAGGCAGGUUACUGGACCAUUUCUGACACUGAGGCACGAAAGCGUGGGGAGCGAACC
Molecule: ribosomal RNA, 209 nt
Filed under: uncultured bacterium
Lineage: Bacteria
Description: partial 16S ribosomal RNA
Rfam family: Bacterial small subunit ribosomal RNA
Source: RNAcentral